GGAGAGAUGGCCGAGUCGGCUGAAGGCGCUCGCCUGCUAAGCGAGUGUACUCCGAAAGGGGUACCGAGGGUUCGAAUCCCUCUCUCUCCG
This is a non-coding RNA of Desulfacinum infernum DSM 9756, 90 nucleotides long. The record is from Rfam. NCBI's taxonomy places the organism in Bacteria, Pseudomonadati, Thermodesulfobacteriota, Syntrophobacteria, Syntrophobacterales, Syntrophobacteraceae.